This is a small nucleolar RNA of Notolabrus celidotus (New Zealand spotty), 70 nucleotides long. RefSeq annotates it as small nucleolar RNA SNORD18. NCBI's taxonomy places the organism in Eukaryota, Metazoa, Chordata, Actinopteri, Labriformes, Labridae. The transcript has a single exon. The record is from RefSeq and is a predicted model, not a curated record.
UUACUGUGAUGAGCUUCCACUUCAGGUCCGUGUUUUUGAAGUUUAGUGAUAUUCACGAAGUUCUGAGUUU